This 465-nucleotide ribosomal RNA is filed under the name uncultured bacterium. RNAcentral describes it as "partial 16S ribosomal RNA". It matches the Rfam family "Bacterial small subunit ribosomal RNA", at positions 338 to 795 of the family's 1533-position model. The record is from RNAcentral.
CCUACGGGAUGCAGCAGUGGGGAAUAUUGCGCAAUGGGCGAAAGCCUGACGCAGCGACGCCGCGUGAGGGAUGAAGGUCUUCGUAUCGUAAACCUCUGUCAGCAGGGAAGAACGGUCACUGUGCUAAUCAGCAGUGAAUUGACGGUACCUGCAAAGGAAGCACCGGCUAACUCCGUGCCAGCAGCCGCGGUAAUACGGCGGGUGCGAGCGUUAAUCGGAGUUACUGGGCGUAAAGCGCUCGUAGGCGGUAUGUCAAGUCAAGGGUGAAAUCCCCGCGCUCAACGUGGGAACUGCCUUUGAAACUGGCAGACUUGAGUGUGUGAGAGGAUAGUGGAAUUCCAGGUGUAGGAGUGAAAUCCGUAGAUAUCUGGAGGAACAUCAGUGGCGAAGGCGACUAUCUGGCACAUAACUGACGCUGAGGAGCGAAAGCGUGGGUAGCAAACAGGAUUAGAUACCCCGGUAGUC